AGAUGGCGACCGGCGCACGGGUGAGUAACACGUAUCCAACCUGCCGAUAACUCGGGGAUAGCCUUCGAAAGAAAGAUUAAUACCCGAUGGCAUAAUUAGACCGCAUGGUCUUAUUAUUAAAGAAUUUCGGUUAUCGAUGGGGAUGCGUUCCAUUAGGCAGUUGGUGAGGUAACGGCUCACCAAACCUUCGAUGGAUAGGGGUUCUGAGAGGAAGGUCCCCCACAUUGGAACUGAGACACGGUCCAA
Molecule: ribosomal RNA, 246 nt
Filed under: uncultured bacterium
Lineage: Bacteria
Description: partial 16S ribosomal RNA
Rfam family: Bacterial small subunit ribosomal RNA
Source: RNAcentral